CAAAUGAACGUUGGAAAUACGCGAAUUAAACUCUAUACUGUGUAAGCGUCGAGAGAGUAAAUGCGGUCAUAGUAUAUCUCUGUAGACGUUUGAGAUCGAUUUUCUUUUUUAAAUAUUGUAUCGAUAAUAAUUGAAAAAUAAUACGUAUAUGAUAUUUUAGCAUCCUAUGCUUGUGUAAAAAUGAUUUAAAAAAAAAAAAUUUUCGCUGCGGACAGGAUUCGAACCUGUGCGGGUAAUACACCCAAUGGAUUUCAAGUCCAUCUCCUUAACCGCUCGGACACCGCAGCUCUGUUCAGUAGGUUCUAAUAUACGGUAUAAAAGUUGAAUAGAACGCAAAGUGUUCGUAAAUAUUUUACUACAGAUAAAAGAUAGAUUAACGUAAUAGGUGAUAAUAAAAGAAGAUAUUAGGAACUACGCAUUGCGUUGCGUAACAAACGUAAACCGAUCGUAUUAAAGUAAGAAGUAUUGUAUAAAGCAAAGAGAUAGAAGAGAUCUUGUAACGCUUCAUAAAGUGAACUUACUUCUUUGCUUUCGCCGCCAAUUGAAGGAGGAACCACAAAAUCACACGAUUGCCAACGUGUUAAUUAAGCUUCAAUUAAUAGAGUCCAGUUCCGAGGAAAGCGGCACAUUGCGACCGUAUUAACGAUAAUUGAGUCAUCUCACGGUUGUUUAAUUGCGAUCGUUAACAGAAUGAUAUCGAGCGUCGUGUGUAGCCCUGGUCUUAAAGUGAAAAGGAAAAAGAGAAAUUGUGAUUUUCACGACCGUUAUUCUCGACUCGUGUCGCUCGCAAUUAACCAUUUUCAAGGAUGAUAAGAAAGGACAUGCAGGAACAUCGAUGAACGUUUAAUUUAACCGUUAAUUACCAGAUAUAGCGACGUUACUCUUUUUAACGUGUCGUAUCCCUUGUAACAUCUCAGUAAUGCUUGUAUCUUUAUUUGUUAAUUUAUAAAAUAACAUUGCUUC
Long non-coding RNA from Bombus pyrosoma, 963 nucleotides. RefSeq lists it as uncharacterized. NCBI's taxonomy places the organism in Eukaryota, Metazoa, Arthropoda, Insecta, Hymenoptera, Apidae. The record is from RefSeq and is a predicted model, not a curated record. The transcript has 3 exons.